AAGACAAACAACCCUGGUUUCCGUGUCCAACGUUUGACCGUCCGUCUUAUUUAAAAAAUUUAUGAAAAAAAUUAAAAAGACAAGUCACGCAUAAAAUAUUAAUCAUGUUUUAUCAUCUAACAACAAUGAAAAUACGAAUUAUAAAAAAAUUUCAUAUAAAACGGAGGGAGGGAGGGAGUACAUUUAAACGGAGGGAGACAGUUAAAGUUGGACACGGAAACCCAGAGUUUGUCUUUUU
Molecule: non-coding RNA, 238 nt
Organism: Oryza glumipatula
Lineage: Eukaryota; Viridiplantae; Streptophyta; Magnoliopsida; Poales; Poaceae
Source: Rfam